This 354-nucleotide long non-coding RNA is filed under the name Citrus sinensis (sweet orange). RNAcentral describes it as "long non-coding RNA (CSIN_LNC005481)". The record is from RNAcentral. Lineage: Eukaryota; Viridiplantae; Streptophyta; Magnoliopsida; Sapindales; Rutaceae.
AAUUAAAAAAAUAAAAAAGCAAAAAGAAAAGUAAAGCUGACAAAUGAAGGAGGGAAGAAAUCAUGAGUACAAGCCAUCAGAAAGGCCAUUCUACUAAACAGAAGCCUGAUCAAAUCAUACGCCGGCCACAACAAUCAGAAUCAAAGCACGCGCACAAAGGGAGCCACACUAGCCAGACCAGUGACGAGCCCAAGAUAACAAUUCCUGUUGCGAAGAAAGAAAUCACAGCCAAUCACAGCGAUUCGGGUAAAACUCUUGAUCUCCGUACAAGUAGUCCUUUGAACAAAAGUCGGAGGGGACGGAAAAAAUGCAUAAACCCUGCCAAGAGUCCUCCUCUCAAUCUCAACAAAAUCA